This 633-nucleotide ribosomal RNA is filed under the name Agrobacterium tumefaciens. RNAcentral's name for it is "bacterial SSU rRNA". It matches the Rfam family "Bacterial small subunit ribosomal RNA", at positions 67 to 748 of the family's 1533-position model. Lineage: Bacteria; Pseudomonadati; Pseudomonadota; Alphaproteobacteria; Hyphomicrobiales; Rhizobiaceae. The record is from RNAcentral.
CGCCCCGCAAGGGGAGUGGCAGACGGGUGAGUAACGCGUGGGAACAUACCCUUUCCUGCGGAAUAGCUCCGGGAAACUGGAAUUAAUACCGCAUACGCCCUACGGGGGAAAGAUUUAUCGGGGAAGGAUUGGCCCGCGUUGGAUUAGCUAGUUGGUGGGGUAAAGGCCUACCAAGGCGACGAUCCAUAGCUGGUCUGAGAGGAUGAUCAGCCACAUUGGGACUGAGACACGGCCCAAACUCCUACGGGAGGCAGCAGUGGGGAAUAUUGGACAAUGGGCGCAAGCCUGAUCCAGCCAUGCCGCGUGAGUGAUGAAGGCCUUAGGGUUGUAAAGCUCUUUCACCGGAGAAGAUAAUGACGGUAUCCGGAGAAGAAGCCCCGGCUAACUUCGUGCCAGCAGCCGCGGUAAUACGAAGGGGGCUAGCGUUGUUCGGAAUUACUGGGCGUAAAGCGCACGUAGGCGGAUAUUUAAGUCAGGGGUGAAAUCCCAGAGCUCAACUCUGGAACUGCCUUUGAUACUGGGUAUCUUGAGUAUGGAAGAGGUAAGUGGAAUUCCGAGUGUAGAGGUGAAAUUCGUAGAUAUUCGGAGGAACACCAGUGGCGAAAGCGGCUUACUGGUCCAUUACUGACGCUG